RNAcentral lists this ribosomal RNA (253 nucleotides) under uncultured prokaryote. Its description in RNAcentral is "partial 16S ribosomal RNA". It matches the Rfam family "Bacterial small subunit ribosomal RNA", at positions 524 to 776 of the family's 1533-position model. The record is from RNAcentral.
UACAGAGGGUGCAAGCGUUGUUCGGAAUUAUUGGGCGUAAAGCGCUUGUAGGCGGCCUGUUAAGUCGCGUGUGAAAUCCCUAGGCUUAACCUAGGAAGUGCGCGCGAAACUGAUGGGCUUGAGUGCUGGAGAGGGUCGCGGAAUUCCCGGUGUAGAGGUGAAAUGCGUAGAUAUCAAUCGGAACACCCAUGGCGAAGGCAGCUCGCUGGCCUGUAACUGACGCUGAGGCGCGAAAGCGUGGGGAGCAAACAGG